Long non-coding RNA from Dendroctonus ponderosae (mountain pine beetle), 1555 nucleotides. RefSeq lists it as uncharacterized. The transcript is spliced from 2 exons. Lineage: Eukaryota; Metazoa; Arthropoda; Insecta; Coleoptera; Curculionidae. The record is from RefSeq and is a predicted model, not a curated record.
ACGUAUGAAGUCGCAUAAUCUUUGAGUAUCUGCCCAUUGUUGUAAUAAAAAUAAACCUUCCGUAUACACUCAUUUUUGCCACUAAGCUUAUCAUUAUCGGAAAUAUUUGAGCUUUCUUGAUGAACAUUAUAUCUGCCUGAAUUAAUAACAAACUGAGCGUAGUACUAUAAUGUGCACAUGAUUAUCAAAUCUCUGAAACAGCUUGUUGUUACAAUUUAUAUUUUGUAGUAUUUUGAUAGGUUUUCAAACGGUAAGUGAGACUACUGACUUAAAUUGAUUAACUAUUAAUAGAAAUAAUCAGUUGUUAUGUUGGAUCAAGAGAACAUUUACUCUUUUUCAUGUUUUGGUAUCAUUCUUACCGUAAAACGAAUAUAGGCAAUUAUAGCUGAAUGCCGGUGAGUGAGCGGGGCUUGUAAGAUGUUUGGUCAGUGAAUAUUUACUUGAACUUUUGUCGUAAGUUGAUGUAAUUUCGAUCGUUCUUCGAUUCGACAUUCUACUAUUUUCAGCGUAAUAUUUUCAGGUGUUUCAACGACGUUGAAUGCAGAGUGAUUCUUUGUUAAUGCGUCAUACUCUAACUAGAUAUUCUGUGUCAAAGUCAUGAAAUUUAAUUUAGUCCACCAGGCCCUUGUAAAAUAUUGCAUACGAGUUCCUAUUUCAGAUUCAUUUUUUUUAUUUCAACAAUUAUUAGAUAGUGCUACGCACGGUUUGCUGUAUGGUUAUUUACUAUCAACAUUUUGUAAUUUGUAAUGAAGAGGUCUGACGGAAUUUUGAAUAACAGAAUUGUUAGACUAAUUUAAAGGUAAAAAUGUUUACAUACAGGGUGAUGUGAAAAUGGCGUCAUUCAUCUGGUAGUCUUAUCUUGCUGUCUAGGGAGUACACGAAAAGUAAUAAAAAAAAAAUUCUUAACCCUCCAGCGGGCGCGCCCGCGGCAUAAUGCCGCAUUUUUCAGAUUUUUUGUUAUAAAUACUAUGCAUUAAAACUGACGCCGUCGUUCUUCCAGGUAUUCGUUCCCAAUACAUUUGUCCCUUCAUUCCUAUAUCGAACAGACCCUAUUUCGGUCAGCAUUAGUUGCAGAGUGGCAUUUAGUAAGAGUGUGCAAUUUUUGCCACUAAUUUGCCGCGGUGCGCCUGGUCAUGUCGAAAAAAAUUGAGUCCGGACGAAUUAAAAAAACCGUUGCCAUAGGUGGUGAGAUAAUUAGCAGAUAAGCAGAAUAAGAUGAAUACAAUAGAACAUUAACGUGAACAGAAGUCACGUAAUAGAUGACGAUUUUGACAGCGAUUCAGACUAGGAGCCAGAAGUUACUGAAAGUAACGUUUAUAGUAGUGAUUCCAAACAAGAAGCAGAUAAAGGAAAAGCAGAAUCUGAACCAAGGGACCAGACAAAGAUUAUCAAUUUUUUAUUGAAAAAAACAAUUAUAUGUACUUCAGAUUUUUAUUUUUAGACUUUUUACAUAUAUAUUUAAUUUUGUUGGCAUUUUUUCAAGUAUUAUAUGUAGAAUUGCAUCUAUUGUUGGUUCCUUGUUUUAAUUUCACUUAUUAAAUACAUCUUAAAGUAG